GACGAACCGUCCAAACGUUAUUCGGAAUCACUGGGCUUAAAGGGUGCGUAGGCGGCCCGGGAAGUUGGGUGUGAAAGCCCUCGGCUCAACCGAGGAAUUGCGCCCAAAACUGCCGGGCUCGAGGGAGACAGAGGUGCGCGGAACUAAGGGUGGAGCGGUGAAAUGCGUUGAUAUCCUUAGGAACACCAGGAGCGAAAGCGGCGCACUGGGUCUCUUCUGACGCUGAGGCACGAAAGCUAGGGGAGCGAAC
RNAcentral lists this ribosomal RNA (250 nucleotides) under uncultured bacterium. RNAcentral's name for it is "partial 16S ribosomal RNA". It matches the Rfam family "Bacterial small subunit ribosomal RNA", at positions 524 to 773 of the family's 1533-position model. The record is from RNAcentral.